Tympanuchus pallidicinctus (lesser prairie-chicken) is the source of this 1760-nucleotide long non-coding RNA. RefSeq lists it as uncharacterized. NCBI's taxonomy places the organism in Eukaryota, Metazoa, Chordata, Aves, Galliformes, Phasianidae. The record is from RefSeq and is a predicted model, not a curated record. The transcript has 4 exons.
GGAAGGAUCUCUGGUUGGAGAUCCCUCCCUUGUGGAGUUUCUAUUGCAAGCCUAGAUCUUCAGAGACAGGUGAGCACCCUGACUGGGCAGGAGGUUCGUAUGAUGCCUCGGGAGGAUGCUCAUGGCAUGGCUGAGGGCCACAGCCCUGCUGUUCCAAAGGAGGAACAACUUCUGCCGCCCAGGAGUGAAUGCUGGAGACCUCCCUUGUUACUGACGGGGACCCAUCAUCAAUGUCCCCACCAGAAUGUGGCAUCUGAGACAGCAGUCCUGUGUGAGCUCUGGGCACUGUUCUGACUGUUAAGAUUUUAUUUCACCACGACAGACCAAAGCUGUGUUUGAUAGAUGGCAACUGCAGCCAAUGGUCUACUGAGGGUCUUGGAUUUGCGGUGAAUGAGCAUCUACUGAUCAGCUCUUAUUGCCAUGGAGCAUGGAGCACUGUGGUCAUCUCCAGCAAUUUGGAACCUAAACAACACAUAAAACCUCCCUGACUGAUCUGGAGGCUACCCAGAUUAUUUUGGAUCACAGAAUGGAUGAUUUCUUCAGGGCUCUGACAGACAACGCUUGGCUCUCAGUGUUCUUAGAGCCCAGUCUUUGUACUGGGAGUGUGUCACUGGCAACAAAUGGCCCUUGGUGCUUACAGUAUCCCAACCCACCUCUGUAGCUUCACCUGGAGAUGCUGAGAACAGUUGUGUGAAUGGGGAGAAGAGAAAACAACUGCUGGAUCUGACAGGGCAUCACAUGUAGCUUUGGACUGAUGUCAGUAACCCAGAAGUUCUACUGCUGAGCUCAUCCCACAAGCUGAGCCCUGGUGGUCAGUUCCCUCCCCACCUCGAGCCCAUCACCCAGCCCCUGUACAGCCCCCUGUUUCUCCAUGCCUAGCAUGUCAUUAAGGACAACCCUGCUUCCUGCAGCAGGGAGGAGGGCUGCAUUACCACCAAUGGGGUGUCAGGCUCCCAGCAAGGUCUCAAGUUUCAGAUCCCCUCCUUUUGCCCGAUGCCCGAAGCACAGACAGGAAGCCAAACAUUCUUUCGUGAUCCAUUAUCCUCCAGCAAUUAAAGUUUAGGUCUGGGCACUUUCAAGUUCGAACUGCUGUGCCAUUCAAACAGUGCCCAACAGGGUUUGCUGCGAGGAGGAGGAGGAUGAAGACAGAAACAUCGCUCUGUUUGUGCUCCUGUCACAUUUCAGGCUCCACGAUCUCCUGGAAUUUAAAGUUACUCCGAAUGAACUCCCACCGAGAAUACCAUUGUAACGUUUCCAUAUCAGCAUCUUCUUAUCUUUCUGCGUUACGAUGAUGUCAUUCGUAAUUGCGCUUUCCGUUUUGAUGUUUAAACAAUGUGGCAUCGCCCUGGAAAUCGCUGCUGCUUGCUACGAAGUUCCCAAAAAGCCCCGAAUUUCCUUGGGGGAUGCAACAGGCGCUCUGCUGCCAGGAGAGGCGGGUUGUUACCAAUGGGAGUGUUUAAGGAUUGGGGCAUCAGCACCUCGCGGGAAAUCUUGCUUUUCCUCUCUCUCUCUCUUUCUCUUUCUCUCUUUUAACUUCUAUAGGAUGGAGAUGAACACCACCCAACCCGAAACGCCUCGAGCUCCCGAUCGGAGCGAAGCAUCGCGGCGAAGGUAGCAGCCAAUGGAAGCGGACCUGACUGGUUUUUAUCGUUAAUAUUGCGAAGCUCGGAAAGACUUUUUGGGAGCGGGCAGAGCCAUCGCUCCCUUCCGAACGAGCCGAAUUUUGGCAAACGGCGCCAGGUUUCCCUCCUUCAAUUUGA